AUUGAACGCUGGCGGAAUGCUUUACACAUGCAAGUCGAACGGUAGAGGGGGCAACCCCUUGAGAGUGGCGAACGGGUGAGUAAUAUAUCGGAACGUGCCCAGUCGUGGGGAUAACGUAGCGAAAGUUACGCUAAUACCGCAUACGAUCUAAGGAUGAAAGCGGGGGAUCGCAAGACCUCGCGCGAUUGGAGCGGCCGAUAUCAGAUUAGGUAGUUGGUGGGGUAAAGGCUCACCAAGCCAACGAUCUGUAGCUGGUCUGAGAGGACGACCAGCCACACUGGAACUGAGACACGGUCCAGACUCCUACGGGAGGCAGCAGUGGGGAAUUUUGGACAAUGGACGCAAGUCUGAUCCAGCCAUUCCGCGUGCAGGAUGAAGGCCCCUCGGGUUGUAAACUGCUUUUGUACGGAACGAAAGGUUUCUAUUAAUACUAGGAGCUCAUGACGGUACCGUAAGAAUAAGCACCGGCUAACUACGUGCCAGCAGCCGC
Molecule: ribosomal RNA, 490 nt
Filed under: uncultured bacterium
Lineage: Bacteria
Description: bacterial SSU rRNA
Rfam family: Bacterial small subunit ribosomal RNA
Source: RNAcentral